This 688-nucleotide ribosomal RNA is filed under the name uncultured Roseateles sp. RNAcentral's name for it is "bacterial SSU rRNA". It matches the Rfam family "Bacterial small subunit ribosomal RNA", at positions 66 to 756 of the family's 1533-position model. Lineage: Bacteria; Pseudomonadati; Pseudomonadota; Betaproteobacteria; Burkholderiales; Sphaerotilaceae. The record is from RNAcentral.
ACGGUAACAGGUUAAGCUGACGAGUGGCGAACGGGUGAGUAAUAUAUCGGAACGUGCCCAGUCGUGGGGGAUAACUGCUCGAAAGAGCAGCUAAUACCGCAUACGACCUGAGGGUGAAAGCGGGGGAUCGCAAGACCUCGCGCGAUUGGAGCGGCCGAUAUCAGAUUAGGUAGUUGGUGGGGUAAAGGCUCACCAAGCCAACGAUCUGUAGCUGGUCUGAGAGGACGACCAGCCACACUGGGACUGAGACACGGCCCAGACUCCUACGGGAGGCAGCAGUGGGGAAUUUUGGACAAUGGGCGCAAGCCUGAUCCAGCCAUGCCGCGUGCGGGAAGAAGGCCUUCGGGUUGUAAACCGCUUUUGUCAGGGAAGAAAAGGUUCUGGUUAAUACCUGGGACUCAUGACGGUACCUGAAGAAUAAGCACCGGCUAACUACGUGCCAGCAGCCGCGGUAAUACGUAGGGUGCAAGCGUUAAUCGGAAUUACUGGGCGUAAAGCGUGCGCAGGCGGUUAUGCAAGACAGAUGUGAAAUCCCCGGGCUCAACCUGGGAACUGCAUUUGUGACUGCAUAGCUAGAGUACGGUAGAGGGGGAUGGAAUUCCGCGUGUAGCAGUGAAAUGCGUAGAUAUGCGGAGGAACACCGAUGGCGAAGGCAAUCCCCUGGACCUGUACUGACGCUCAUGCACGA